This is a long non-coding RNA of Setaria italica (foxtail millet), 1190 nucleotides long. RefSeq lists it as uncharacterized. NCBI's taxonomy places the organism in Eukaryota, Viridiplantae, Streptophyta, Magnoliopsida, Poales, Poaceae. The transcript is spliced from 2 exons. The record is from RefSeq and is a predicted model, not a curated record.
CCCGAAUAUGGAAGAGGAAGGCCAAGUCCGAUGGUGAUACUGGAUGGGUACUCAGAAAUACUAUUAAACUGCACCUUCCAUUGAAGCGAUGGGCACAUGGGUAUCCUUCAGAGAUAAUAGGAUUUGCUGAAGACUGUAAUGUGGUGUUUAUAGCAACUGGUGGUGGUGUUGUUUUCAUGGUCCAUCUUGAGUCUGCGCAGUUUAAGAAACUUCCCCAAAAACUGGGCUACCGCACAUGCUAUCCAUUCACAAGUUUCUGCGCAGCAGGGCUGGCUCUAGUGUGCUCCUCGGUGCCACCGGCCAUGAGCGAGGAGGAUCUGUUGACUCACAUAGAGGUCAUCAAGGAUCAGGAGUUGAAUCUGAUGGUUGAGGAUCGUUAAGUGGAUAGGUGGGAUCCGAUGAUCCUUGAAGCUAGUAUGCCACUCGUGCCAUCUAUGCUUGAUAGGGUCGUGGUUUGUGAAGCCUUCUUGUGUUGGUUGCCAAGAGCAAGAGUGUCUUUGGUUUUGCUCCCUCCAUUAUGCAUUUGCCUAUGGAAAUUGGCUCUCCUCUUCGUCUAGUUAACGAAACCUAAUGAAACACUUAACCUUGCACAAUGUGUUGUUGAUAGGGUCGUGGUUUGUGAAGCCUUCUUGUGUUGGUUGCCAAGAGCAAUAGUGUCUUUGGUUUUGCUCCCUCCAUUAUGCAUUUGCCUAUGGAAAUUGGCUCUCCUCUUCGUCUAGUUAACGAAACCUAAUGAAACACUUAACCUUGCACAAUGUGUUGUUGCCGUAACAAAGUAACUGUUAUGGUAGGGAUGGCACUAGAUGUAAUUAAUCUGAUGCUUGAAAGCUCAGAUAGUGUCUUGUAUGUUGAAUGCUAAAAUUGUUCUUUUAUUUGUAGGAAAGAAACUUCAAAUAGUUAUGAGUGGCACCAUUUUUUAAGUUGUUCCAUGGUGUUUGUAUCAAUAUAUGUAGCUGGAUGUUUGUAAACUAUUUCGCUCAAGGGGUGAUUGCUAUUUUCUAUACAACAAUGGCAUCAUAUUUUUUGAGCCUGUGCAACAAUGGCAUCGUAUUUUGAUGGAUGAGGAUGCUUAGGUAUUUCCAAAGUGGUUGUUGGUUAUUUCCUUCUGUAGUGGUCAUUGUUUGUCAUCGGGGUGAGAUUACUGUAACUUGAUGCUUUGAUUUAUUUCACUGGAUGCAUAGUUGUGUGCA